RNAcentral lists this ribosomal RNA (403 nucleotides) under uncultured bacterium. Its description in RNAcentral is "partial 16S ribosomal RNA". It matches the Rfam family "Bacterial small subunit ribosomal RNA", at positions 30 to 526 of the family's 1533-position model. The record is from RNAcentral.
AUUGAACGCUGGCGGCAGGCCUAACACAUGCAAGUCGAGCGAGCGGCGGACGGGUGUGUAAUGUAUAGGGGCUGUCCCAUAGAGGGGGGUAACUCCUCUAAACGGUAUCGAUAACCCCACACUAUCGGAUAACCCAUAUGGGGUUAUCUAGUAGGUGGGGUAAGGGCUCACCUAGGCGACGAGCGCUAGCUGGGCUGUGAGGAUGAUCAGCCACACUGGGACUGAGACACGGCCCAGACUCCUACGGAGGCAGCAGUGGGGAAUAUUGCACAAUGGGCGCAAGCCUGAUGCAGCCAUGCCGCGUGUAUGAAGAAGGCCCUAGGGUUGUAAAGUACUUUCAGUGGGGAGGCGUUACCCGCAGAAGAAGCACCGGCUAACUCCGUGCCAGCCGCCGCGGUAAUUC